Molecule: ribosomal RNA, 501 nt
Filed under: uncultured bacterium
Lineage: Bacteria
Description: partial 16S ribosomal RNA
Rfam family: Bacterial small subunit ribosomal RNA
Source: RNAcentral
AUUGAACGCUGGCGGCAUGCCUUACACAUGCAAGUCGAACGGCAGCACGGGUGCUUGCACCUGGUGGCGAGUGGCGAACGGGUGAGUAAUAUAUCGGAACGUACCUUAUCGUGGGGGAUAACGCAGCGAAAGCUGUGCUAAUACCGCAUAAGCCCUAAGGGGGAAAGCAGGGGACCGUAAGGCCUUGCGCGAUUAGAGCGGCCGAUACCUGAUUAGCUAGUUGGUGAGGUAAAGGCUCACCAAGGCAACGAUCAGUAGCUGGUCUGAGAGGACGAUCAGCCACACUGGGACUGAGACACGGCCCAGACUCCUACGGGAGGCAGCAGUGGGGAAUUUUGGACAAUGGGGGCAACCCUGAUCCAGCAAUGCCGCGUGAGUGAAGAAGGCCUUCGGGUUGUAAAGCUCUUUUGUCAGGGAAGAAACAGCAGCUCUAAUACAGUAUGCGAAUGACGGUACCUGAAGAAUAAGCACCGGCUAACUACGUGCCAGCAGCCGCCGCGG